AAUUGACAUGCCAAUUUCAACAAUGUUCUUGAUGGACUACAGGUGGAGGAUGUCAUCCCAAUCAUUUGUGAUUCGUGUGCAGCAACCUCGGGUCCUUGUUGUGCCAGAUUUCCUUCUUGCUGUGGCUGAGUUUUUUGUGCCUUCUCUAGGAGCGCUAACUGGAAGAGAGGAAAUGAUGGAUCCAAAGAACGAUCCUAUUAGCAGAAAUAGUAGCAUAAUGCUAAUGGAAUCAGUUUACAAGCAGACAGAAGAUGUGGUUCACCUCUCCCCAUCAAAACAGUUAGUAGCAGAUUGUGUAGGCAUUGAUGAAUAUACAUAUGAUGGUUGUGGAAAGACUAUUUAUUUAUCUGUUGAAACUGAUGCAAAGGAAGUCCGGAGCACAAGGUUUAGACCAAUUAUAGUCAUUGGACACAGCAAGAGAUUGCGAUUUAUUAAUGUAAAAAUUGAGGUAAUAUGUUUCCUGUCAAUCUGUAAGUUAUUUUUCAUAUUUCCUGCUUUUAUUUGAGAGAGAAAUUCCUUAUUAUCGUAUGUACCUGACUAAUACGGUGAUAGUUUAUCAAGUGUUCUUGUUUUGAACUUAAUGAAAAUUUAUUCUUAUACUGUCCAGUUGCCAUAUCAUUGUAGAGCAGGUAGUUUAUAAUAUAUGAUGAAUGUUUGUGUUUCUUCAAAAUUUGCAACUAUUUGUUUUUAUGUAAUAAUAAUUACAAGGGAGUUGACUUCUAAUUUAUAGAAGAAGUUUGAGCUGAGCCAGGGCAGGAGGUUAAUCCUCUUAACUAACCUCUUAACAAUACAAACUAACUAGUCUCUAAUACUAUUUUUGUUGAAUAUUUCCAUAAUUUUAGUAGUGUUUAGGAGACCGAGGCUUGGGUUUUUUAAGUAUCCAUCUUUAUCCUUAGAUAUGUUGGUGGGUGAGGAUUUUAUAUUUGUAUGAGUAACCUUGUCUGUGCAUACCCUGGCAAAUAUGCAGGGAAAUUUGAUAGCAUUAUGGUAUUAGUGAAUAAUUUUGUUGUCUCUUCCAUUUUUAUUUUUUGUUACUGUAUUAAGGAUAAUGUCCUGUUCUCCCCUUAAUUUCUACUGAUAUUUUGCUCUCUUCGAUAAUAUCUUUGCUUUCAUUAAAUUCAGAAAGAAUUAUGCAAAAAAGCAUUUAUCACUCUAUUUCCCCCCAGAUUAGGUGCAUGCUAGAAACUUACAUCUUUGUUAUUUAUUUAUCAGAAUGGUUCACUAUUAAGAAAGUAUACGUACCUGAGUUAUGAUAGCAGCUACUCAAUCUCUAUUGAAGAUGGUGUUGACAUUGUGUUGCAUGACAAAUUUCCAUCUGCUGACGAGGAAAGUCUUAUGAAUCAAACAUCUUGCACUUCUGUAUAUUCUGAAAGUGAAGCGAGUGGAACUGAAAGUUUUAGCUUUGAAACCCAGGUAGAUUUUCCAAGAAUAACAUGCUUAAAUAUUUUAACUUACAUGCUAAAGAGAUUACAUGCCUUUUUUUAAAACUAUUACCAUUAUCUUAAUGGGAUACACUUAUCUUAACAUCCUCUUCUCACUAAAAUAUUUUCUUGUAAUUGCAUAACUAGUGCACUGGUCUAAGUAGUGGUCUGCACAUAGCACUUCACAAACUAGAGUGGUUAUAUUUUGUGCAGUGCUUUCUGUUGUGUGACAAAAGUAGAAAGCGAAAACAAAAACGCUCUUCCUUAUUUUUAUUGAAGAACUUUAGUAAAGGGAGGAGAGUAGAACUCAGGUUGGCAUUUAAUUCAACUCAAAAAAAUACAGUACCAAAAUUCUUGAAAACAUUCAAAAUUGAAAGCUGUCUGGUAUUAUUGAAUGUUUGGUUAUCAUGUUCUAACUUUUCCAUCUGCAUCAAACUGAUUGAAUUGUUAAGAUUCAUCUCAAAACCAAUUGGCAAUGAGAGAAGUACCUUGUUGUGCCAGAUUUCCUUCUUGCUGUGGCUGAGUUUUUUGUGCCUUCUCUAGGAGCGCUAACUGGAAGAGAGGAAAUGAUGGAUCCAAAGAACGAUCCUAUUAGCAGAAAUAGUAGCAUAAUGCUAAUGGAAUCAGUUUACAAGCAGACAGAAGAUGUGGUUCACCUCUCCCCAUCAAAACAGUUAGUAGCAGAUUGUGUAGGCAUUGAUGAAUAUACAUAUGAUGGUUGUGGAAAGACUAUUUAUUUAUCUGUUGAAACUGAUGCAAAGGAAGUCCGGAGCACAAGGUUUAGACCAAUUAUAGUCAUUGGACACAGCAAGAGAUUGCGAUUUAUUAAUGUAAAAAUUGAG
RNAcentral lists this long non-coding RNA (2263 nucleotides) under Lupinus angustifolius (narrow-leaved blue lupine). RNAcentral's name for it is "long non-coding RNA (LANG_LNC002475)". The record is from RNAcentral. Lineage: Eukaryota; Viridiplantae; Streptophyta; Magnoliopsida; Fabales; Fabaceae.